CCGUUCUCAGUUCGGAUCGGAGUCUGCAACCCGACUCCGUGAAGCUGGAUUCGCUAGUAAUCGCGCAUCAGCCAUGGCGCGGUGAAUACGUUCCCGGGCCUUGUACACACCGCCCGUCAAGCCAUGGAAGCCGGGGGCGCUUGAAGUGCGUUGCCGCAAGGCGCGCCCUAGAGCGAAACCGGUGACUGGGGCUAAGUCGUAACAAGGUAUC
This 211-nucleotide ribosomal RNA is filed under the name uncultured bacterium. Its description in RNAcentral is "partial 16S ribosomal RNA". It matches the Rfam family "Bacterial small subunit ribosomal RNA", at positions 1282 to 1500 of the family's 1533-position model. The record is from RNAcentral.